RNAcentral lists this ribosomal RNA (254 nucleotides) under uncultured bacterium. Its description in RNAcentral is "partial 16S ribosomal RNA". It matches the Rfam family "Bacterial small subunit ribosomal RNA", at positions 524 to 776 of the family's 1533-position model. The record is from RNAcentral.
UACGUAGGGUGCAAGCGUUAAUCGGAAUUACUGGGCGUAAAGCGUGCGCAGGCGGUUUUGUAAGUCUGUUGUGAAAGCCCCCGAGCUCAACUUGGGAAUUGCAGUGGAUACUGGCGAGCUGGAGUGCGGUAGAGGAAGGUGGAAUUCCCGGUGUAGCGGUGAAAUGCGUAGAGAUCGGGAGGAACACCAGUGGCGAAGGCGGCCUUCUGGACCAGCACUGACACUCAAGCACGAAAGCGUGGGGAGCAAACAGG